Molecule: ribosomal RNA, 1430 nt
Filed under: metagenome
Description: bacterial SSU rRNA
Rfam family: Archaeal small subunit ribosomal RNA
Source: RNAcentral
UCCGGCUGAUCCCGCCGGAGACUACUGCUAUUCGGAUUUGACUAAGCCAUGUUAGUUUCGGGUGCUUGCAUCCGGAGCGUACAGCUCAGUAACACGUAGUCAACUUGCCCUCAAGUCUGGAAUAAUCCUGGGAAACUGGGGCUAACGCCGGAUAGAUGAGAAAUACUGGAAUGUUUUUUCUUCCAAAGAUACGCUUGAGGAUAGGACUGCGUUUGAUUAGAUUGUUGCCGGGGUAACUUCCCGACAUGUCGAUAAUCAAUACGGGCCUUGAGAGAGGAAGCCCGGAGAUGGAUUCUGAGACAAGAAUCCAGGUCCUACGGGACGCAUCAGACGCGAAAAUUCCACAAUGCGCGAAAGCGUUAUGGAGAAAUCCGAAGUGGAUUCGCUAAGCGAAUUCUUUUGCCAAGUGUAAAUAGCUUGGAGAAUAAGGGGUGGGUAAGACAGGUGCCAGCCGCCGCGGUAAUACCUGCGCCCCGAGUGGUAGUCACGUUUAUUGGGUUUAAAGCGUCCGUAGCCGGUUUGUUUAGUCUUUAAUGAAAUCCCACAGUAAACUGUGAGGCUUGUUAGAGAUACUAGCAGACUUGGGACCGGGAGAGGUAAGGAGUACUGUAGGGGUAAGGGUAAAAUCUUAUAAUCCUUACAGGACUACCAGUGGCGAAGGCGCCUUACUAGAACGGAUCCGACGGUGAGGGGCGAAAGCUAGGGGAGCAAAGGGGAUUAGAUACCCCCGUAGUCCUAGCUGUAAACGAUACCCACUAGACGUUGGAGAUCUUACGAGGGUCUUCAGUGUCACAGGGAAACCGCUAAGUGGGUCACCUGGGGAAUACGGCCGCAAGACUGAAACUUAACGGAAUUGGCGGGGGAGCACACAAGGGGUGGAGGCUGCGGUUUAAUUGGAUUCAACGCCGGGAACCUUACCAGAGGCGACAGCAGAAUGAAGGUCAGGCUGAAGACUUUACCAGACAAGCUGAGAAGUAGUGCAUGGCCGUCGUCAGUUCGUGUCGUGAGAUGUCGACUUAAGUGUCGUAACGAACAAGACCCGCGCCCUAUGUUGCGACCUUUUUAUCUAUAAAGAGGGCACUCAUAGGGGACCGCUACUGAAAAAGUAGAGGAAGGUGCGGUCGACGGCAGGUCUGUAUGCCCUGAAUCCUCUGGGUUACACGCGGCCUACAAUGGGUAGCACAAUGAGAUGCAACACCGAAAGGUGAAGCCAAUCUCUAAAACUGCCCCUAGUUCAGAUUGAGGGCUGCAACUCGCCCUCAUGAAGCCGAAAUCCCUAGUAGUCGCUGUUUAGCAUACAGCGGCGAAUACGUUCCUGCUCCUUGCACACACUGCCCGUCAAGCCAUCUGAAUGGGGUGUUGGUGAGGCUUCUCCAUUUUGGAAGAGUCGAGCCAGUGCUCUGUAAGGAGGGCUAAGUCGUAACAAGGUA